This 132-nucleotide ribosomal RNA is filed under the name Ipomoea nil (Japanese morning glory). The record is from RNAcentral. Lineage: Eukaryota; Viridiplantae; Streptophyta; Magnoliopsida; Solanales; Convolvulaceae.
GGAUGCGGAUAUACCAGCCACUUAAUGCAACCGGAUCCCAUCCGAGAACUCCGAAGUUAAAGCGACUGCUUGGGCGAAGCAGUUAUACAGCGAUGGGUGAACCCCCUGGGAAGUUCCCUCGUGUUGCAUCCC